Molecule: unclassified non-coding RNA, 355 nt
Filed under: uncultured Holtermanniella
Lineage: Eukaryota; Fungi; Basidiomycota; Tremellomycetes
Description: partial contains 5.8S ribosomal RNA, internal transcribed spacer 2, and large subunit ribosomal RNA
Rfam family: 5.8S ribosomal RNA (bases 1-102)
Source: RNAcentral
AUGCGAUAAGUAAUGUGAAUUGCAGAAUUCAGUGAAUCAUCGAAUCUUUGAACGCACCUUGCGCCCGUUGGUAUUCCGACGGGCAUGCCUGUUUGAGUGUCGUGAACAACCUCAACCUUGAUUGGUUUUACCAUCAAGGCUUGGAAUUGGGUGUUGCUGCUGCAAAGUGGCUCGCCUUAAAACUAUUAGCUGGACUUGUCUAUGACUUGGUUCGACUCGAUGUAAUAAGUAUUCAUCGGGGACAGGGUUAAACCUGGCCAAGGCUUGAUGCCGUCUGCUUCUAAUCAUGUUCUCACUAUGAGACGCUACUUUACUGUGUGGCCUCAAAUCAGGUAGGAUUACCCGCUGAACUUAA